RNAcentral lists this ribosomal RNA (324 nucleotides) under uncultured eukaryote. RNAcentral's name for it is "partial 18S ribosomal RNA". It matches the Rfam family "Eukaryotic small subunit ribosomal RNA", at positions 1470 to 1796 of the family's 1831-position model. The record is from RNAcentral.
CCCUUAGAUGUUCUGGGCCGCACGCGCGCUACACUGAUGCAUUCAACGAGCCUAUCCUUGACCGACAGGUCCGGGUAAUCUUUGAAUCUGCAUCGUGACGGGGAUAGAUUAUUGCAAUUGUUAAUCUUGAACGAGGAAUUCCUAGUAAACGCGAGUCAUCAGCUCGCAUUGAUUACGUCCCUGCCCUUUGUACACACCGCCCGUCGCACCUACCGAUUGAAUGGUUCGGUGAAGAUCUCGGACUUCGAUAUUUAUUCUUUAUUGAGUUUAUAUUGUGGGAAGUUAUCUAAACCUCAUCAUUUAGAGGAAGGUGAAGUCGUAACA